CUCCUCGUAGUUCAAUGGAUAGAACGAGUGCCUCCUAAGCGCUAAAUACAGGUUCGAUUCCUGUCGAGGGGACCA
Molecule: transfer RNA, 75 nt
Filed under: Burkholderiaceae bacterium
Lineage: Bacteria; Pseudomonadati; Pseudomonadota; Betaproteobacteria; Burkholderiales; Burkholderiaceae
Also listed under: 1 other name
Description: tRNA-Arg
Rfam family: tRNA
About the family: Transfer RNA (tRNA) molecules are approximately 80 nucleotides in length.
Source: RNAcentral